RNAcentral lists this ribosomal RNA (671 nucleotides) under uncultured forest soil bacterium. Its description in RNAcentral is "bacterial SSU rRNA". It matches the Rfam family "Bacterial small subunit ribosomal RNA", at positions 64 to 767 of the family's 1533-position model. The record is from RNAcentral.
GAACGAGAAAGUGGAGCAAUCCAUGAGUAAAGUGGCGCACGGGUGAGUAACACGUGACUAACCUACCUUUUAGUGGGGGAUAACCUAGGGAAACCUGGGCUAAUACCGCAUAAUACUUACGAGUCAAAGCAGCAAUGCGCUGAAAGAGGGGGUCGCGGCCGAUUAGCUAGUUGGCGGGGUAAUGGCCCACCAAGGCAGUGAUCGGUAUCCGGCCUGAGAGGGCGCACGGACACACUGGAACUGAAACACGGUCCAGACUCCUACGGGAGGCAGCAGUGGGGAAUUUUGCGCAAUGGGGGAAACCCUGACGCAGCAACGCCGCGUGGAGGAUGAAGUCCCUUGGGACGUAAACUCCUUUCGAUCGGGACGAUAAUGACGGUACCGGAAGAAGAAGCCCCGGCUAACUUCGUGCCAGCAGCCGCGGUAAUACGAGGGGGGCAAGCGUUGUUCGGAAUUAUUGGGCGUAAAGGGUGCGUAGGUGGUUCGGCAAGUCUUGUGUGAAAUCUUCAGGCUCAACUUGAAGUCUGCACAAGAAACUGCCGGGCUUGAGUAUGGGAGAGGUGAGUGGAAUUUCCGGUGUAGCGGUGAAAUGCGUAGAUAUCGGAAGGAACACCUGUGGCGAAAGCGGCUCACUGGACCAUUACUGGCACUGAGGCACGAAAGCUAGGGGA